Molecule: ribosomal RNA, 451 nt
Filed under: uncultured bacterium
Lineage: Bacteria
Description: partial 16S ribosomal RNA
Rfam family: Bacterial small subunit ribosomal RNA
Source: RNAcentral
AGCGAACGCUGGCGGCAUGCCUAACACAUGCAAGUCGCACGGGGGGGCUUCGGCCUCCCAGUGGCGGACGGGUGAGGAACGCGUAGGGACCUGUCGAGGGGUGGGGGAUAACCGCGGGAAACUGCGGCUAAUACCGCAUGACGCCGCGGCGUGACAGCCGGGGCCAAAGGCGAAAGCCGCCCGCCGAGGGGCCUGCGUCCGAUUAGCUGGUUGGCGGGGUAGCGGCCCACCAAGGCGUCGAUCGGUAGCUGGUCUGAGAGGGUGAUCAGCCACACCGGGAGUGAGACACGGCACGGACUCCUACGGGAGGCAGCAGUGGGGAAUAUUGGACAAUGGGCGCAAGCCUGAUCCAGCAAUGCCGCGUGGGUGAAGAAGGUAUUCGGAUUGUAAAGCCCUUUCGGCGGGGACGAUGGUGACGGUACCCGCAGAAGAAGCCCCGGCUAACUUCGUG